RNAcentral lists this ribosomal RNA (250 nucleotides) under uncultured bacterium. Its description in RNAcentral is "partial 16S ribosomal RNA". It matches the Rfam family "Bacterial small subunit ribosomal RNA", at positions 524 to 772 of the family's 1533-position model. The record is from RNAcentral.
UACAGGGGGGGGCAAGCGUUGUUCGGAAUUACUGGGCGUAAAGGGUUCGUAGGUGGCCAUUUAAGUCAGACGUGAAAUCCCUCAGCUCAACUGGGGAAUUGCGUCUGAAACUGGAUGGCUUGAGUGCAGGAGAGGAAUGCGGAAUUCCAGGUGUAGCGGUGAAAUGCGUAGAUAUCUGGAGGAACACCGGUGGCGAAGGCGGCAUUCUGGACUGUAACUGACACUGAGGAACGAAAGCCAGGGGAGCAAA